UAUAGCUUCUAACAUGUCUUCUGCAGGUAAGAUGAGAUACAUAUCGGACAAGCCAUUCUCAUCUCUUCCUGGAAGAGAAAGAUUACCUGAUGUACCUCUAGAGGGAGACAAAUUACAUCCUAGAGGGAGGUGAUUAUUCAUUAUCAUUAAUUGUCAUUCAGUUUUUCUUUUUUCAAGGCUUAUGUUUAGUGUUACCUGAUUUUAUUCAGUGACAAUUUAUUCAGGGAUGAAACUUAUGAGGGUUCCCGCAAGUUCUCAAGAGAAAG
RNAcentral lists this unclassified non-coding RNA (266 nucleotides) under Hevea brasiliensis (rubber tree). The record is from RNAcentral. Lineage: Eukaryota; Viridiplantae; Streptophyta; Magnoliopsida; Malpighiales; Euphorbiaceae.